Long non-coding RNA from Selaginella moellendorffii, 2825 nucleotides. RefSeq lists it as uncharacterized. The record is from RefSeq and is a predicted model, not a curated record. NCBI's taxonomy places the organism in Eukaryota, Viridiplantae, Streptophyta, Lycopodiopsida, Selaginellales, Selaginellaceae. The transcript has 15 exons.
UGUCAAGGUUUUAGGGCUCUGUAUGAUGAUGCCAGAAUGAGGCUUGCGGAGGGCGAUUGAGGUCUGAUAUUUUUUGCUACUCUCUCCAGCACGCAGAUCCGGUGGAUUGCUAUAGAUUCGGAGAUCCCUGUGAUUUAGAGUUACUUGCCAUGAUAGGAAGACAAGAAUUACGGGAAUGUAUGGAACGCUGAUCAACACGAGAUUGAGCGGUAGCUUGCCGGAAUCUAACAGGCCUCCAGCUCUUGAAUCUGCAAACCUGUGGUUUCAACGGGAGUAUUCUCUUAUUUCUAGCUUUGAACGGAAACUUUCUGGAUGGAAGGAUUCCCCCAACUGUUGGCGAGCUCCCAGUGAUCUCGUUUGACGGCACGGGCUUUGACAACAUGACAGUAUUAAGACACAUGCAUCUCAACAACAACAAUCUUUCCGGUGCGAUUCCGACUGCGCUGUCUACGACACCAAAACUAUUUCACCUACUGCUGGAAAAAAACAACUUUCCAGGAGCCAUACCUCCAGAAAUCGGCAGCUUGCUACAGCUGAGAAUCUUGAGACGCGAUAAUAAUAAACUUGAGGGCCCCCGUACCUGAAACCACCAGUCGCCUGGCUUUCCUCGAGCUGUAUGAUGAUUGUCUUACGCUAACUGAUGAAUAUCUGCAGACAUUUGACCAUUACUCUACUUGUUGGGAACUUGCCAGACUUCUGCUUUGCAAAAUCUACAGCUCAUGUUAAUCAAUAGUUUUCCAAGGGAAACCUUGUCAGACAGAUUCCAACGGGGCUCUCCUGCCUUGAGGCGCCGUAAAAGUUUCAAAGACAAGAAUGUUUCCUUGUGACUCUAACCUGCAGGUUUCUGGAGAACCGCUUGAAUGGUGGCAUCGGCCGCGAGUGAUUGGAACUGGUUUCGGUGGAAGAAUCUGUGCCAAUCACAGACGGUCAGGAAGUUCUGUUUGCAACGACAACAAUCCUGACAAGUUUGUGAGAGUGAUAGAAUAUAGAAACCUUCAAUCGGUGCGGUAUAACGAGAAAACUUUGCUACCAGCUUCUUUGCCGAGAAGAAUGAAGUGACAGGGUUGACAACGAUACGGGGCAACAUUCCUCGGCACUUCACACUACUCUGGGCGACUUAUAGCUUCGUCAUGACGAACGCAAACCAUCCAUAAACAGGUGAUAGCCAAACAAACAAGUUUAUGUUUGUUGCACUCUCUGCAUCUACGUCGGAGUUUCAGUUGCGAUAGCGGGUCUCUGUAUCUUUUUUCUCGUUAUGAACAGAAAGCGGACGAGGAGCCCAUGGUGAAAGCUGACUUUCUCAUUUUUCUUUUUCUCCUUUGGUUUCAGCAGCUUUGGGAAGAUUUCUCCCAAGUUCAAAGGUGGCUUAAGAAACUUCUCCAGCCACCACUUGAUUGGUGUCGGUGGCGAUAGCAAGGUAUACAAAGGACAGCUGCACACAGGAUCAGAAGUUGUGGCAAUCAAGCGAGCCCAGAAAGAAUAUCUACAAGGCGUCGAAGAAUUCCGACCUGAGAUCGAGCUGUUUUCACGCUUGCACCACAAGAAUCUGGUGAACCUCAUCGGCUUUUGUACAGAUGAUGGAGAACAGAUGCUCGCGUACCGGACUUUUAAGAGACCAUCUCUAGGAGCAAGCUCUCAACUGAAAGACACGUUUCUCCAUCGCACUUGGCUCUGCAAAAGGGAAAUACCUUCACGAGCUGGCGGAUCCUCGCAUUAUCCACUGAAACAUCAAAUCCUCCAACAUUUUACUGGACAAGAACUUGGUGGCCAAAGUCGCGGGCUUGGGCCGCUCAAAGCUGGCGCCAACUUGUAGCGACAAGACAUAUACCAGUAUCCAAGUGAAGAAACUCUGGUAUGUCUACUUUUCUACAUCUAUCAGCAAAGAGCGAUGUCUACAGCUUUGGAGUGGUGCUCAUCAAGAAGCAGCCGAUUGUUCAUCGUGAAGGAGAUCAAGGAGUCGCUCCCCUGGGGUGGUGUUGCCUUGCUGCUCUCUUUCAUGGACAAUCCGGCUGUGCAUGGAAGAUUCUGACCACAAGAUGAGAGCUUGAGGAGAUGAUCAAGCUGCAAGAGGUGCAUGGCUGAUCACGAACAGAACUGUGACAGUGACGGGAACGAGGCAGCCGAAUAGAGCAGCUUCAACGUUGGUCUUGAAUCUGAAGUGUUCAGCGAUGAGCUCCCAAGCUUUCGCUUUUACGGCAGCUGAGGAGGGAAAAAGGCGAGCCGGAUUGGACCACCGGUGUACAGUGGAGGAUUAAAACGGGGAGGAGGAGAUAUCGCGACAGUGGAGAAGAAUAAAAUACUCGAGGAGAAGAAGAUCAUCACCGUCACCAAGCUGGCUUGCUGAGGAGAGAUUUGGGAAGAACUUCCAAGCGACUGGUGCGGAUUCCUUUCAUCUUUAGGAUGGUACACUACUGCAAAAUGCCAGUGUGAGGCAGGAGGCUGGCGCCAAGCAUCGUGCUCCUGGCUGCGAGCGUGAACCACAAAGAAAACGAAAAAAGAAAGUAUAGAAAACAGGAAGAAAGAUCCAACACUAUGGCCCGGAAGGGAAAAUAUCACCAGCUUUGGUGCGUCGGCUGGAAUGACAUCAUGCACGAGCUCGUUUGGCGACGUCACGUACUCGCCGGGAAGAGAUGGGAGCGAUGAAAAGAUCGGCUGCGAGCUUUGUCUCCAAAGGACGAGCGAGAGAGAGACGAGAGAACUGCGGCUCCAUCUUUUCAUCAAUGCGAGACCGAAAAGAAAGAAAGGAUUGGAAGAUGGAUCACUCCAACCUUGAGACACUGAACUGGACGAGCAGGGAAAGGAGAGCUUGACAAUGCUGUGAUGCA